RNAcentral lists this ribosomal RNA (302 nucleotides) under uncultured bacterium. RNAcentral's name for it is "partial 16S ribosomal RNA". It matches the Rfam family "Bacterial small subunit ribosomal RNA", at positions 508 to 807 of the family's 1533-position model. The record is from RNAcentral.
GCAGUAGCCGCGGUAAUACGGAGGGGGCUAGCGUUGUUCGGAAUUACUGGGCGUAAGGCGCACGUAGGCGGCUUGGUAAGUUAGAGGUGAAAGCCUGGAGCUCAACUCCAGAAUUGCCUUUAAGACUGCCGAGCUAGCAGGUGAGAGAGGUAAGUGGAAUUCCGAGUGUAGAGGUGAAAUUCGUAGAUACUCGGAAGAACACCAGUGGCGAAGGCGGCUUACUGGCUCAUACUGGACGCUGAGGUGCGAAAGCGUGGGGAGCAAACAGGAUUAGAUACCCGCGUAGUCCCUGUCUCUUAUAC